This 29-nucleotide non-coding RNA is filed under the name Homo sapiens (human). The record is from RNAcentral. Lineage: Eukaryota; Metazoa; Chordata; Mammalia; Primates; Hominidae.
UGUGAAAUGCCGUGGCCAUUCUUGGGGUC